Long non-coding RNA from Triticum aestivum (bread wheat), 4111 nucleotides. RefSeq lists it as uncharacterized. The record is from RefSeq and is a predicted model, not a curated record. The transcript is spliced from 9 exons. NCBI's taxonomy places the organism in Eukaryota, Viridiplantae, Streptophyta, Magnoliopsida, Poales, Poaceae.
ACGAGGCCUCCGGAUCCCUUCGCCGCCAGCCCCCACCUCCUCCUCUGCUCCCGGCGCCGCUCGCCCCCCCAUCUCCUCCCCCGAUCCCGGCGUCAUCCCGCCCCCACCUUCUCCCUCACUCCCGGCGCCGCCCCGCCCCCACCUUCUCCCUCACUCCCGGCGCCACCCGACCUCCAACCUCCCUGGAUCCCGGCUCCCGGUGCCCCCCGCCCCCCAUCUCCUCCCCUGAUCCAACUAAACAUCCCGUAAACUGAAAAAGAGGGUGAUUGGUUAAGAUGCUGAAGCAGCUAACAAGGAGGGGCAGACGCGUGAACGAGAUGGGAAGAAAACUCACUUUGCCCCUCCUCCAAGCACAUCAGCGACUCUUCGAUCUGCUUCUCACCCUCGCAAGAUAUGAGAUUCUUAUAUACCAUUGUUGCAUCCUGUUGCACACAUGCAAUUCUAUUGUUUUGUGUAAGAGCCAUUGACUUUUGUGGAGAAGUUCGCGUCACGAGGGAACUCUGCUAUCAAGGUCGCCAUGUCAGCGAGCUCGUUGGCGUCGUACUGCCCCAACAGGAGUGCCAUCGGGUCGGCGGCGCUGCUGGCGGCUGCAACCAUGGAUGAUGGAAAUUGUGAGUCCUGCAAAAUCUGUACGUGGGUUAGGAUAAUAGGUUGAGCCAUCUGUUCCUCUACAGUCAAACGCUUGAUUGGGAUGUUCUAUCCAUGAAGGGAUCAGAUUCAUGAAACUCGACCUGUUGAAGAAGUUUCAGUCCAGCUUCACUCACCGCCUUUCAUUGUCAUCGAGACAACCGGCAUUGCUCAGAACGCCACAUCCCCGGCCUACUCUCUCUUCACCCGUCAAUGCUCAUGUGCUUUGACCCUCCCCGACCCCUCCCAGCAAGCAGUAGAGUCUCUCUUGUUUGAGCUCCACCGGGCCGGCGGCGGCGACGUCCAUGUUCGUUGGGCGGAGCACAACGCUGGGGUUGAAGUCCACCAUGCUGCUACUGAUGAUGAGGCUCUCCUCCUUUGUCCACCGGUUAUCAGACAACUGCGUAUGAGACGUCCAUCGUCGUACACUCAUUUGAUCGUGCUGAUGCGCCUGGCUGUGGGAUGGCUUCUGCUGGGAUGCUCCGAGAUUUCAUGAAUCCAUUAUGACGAAAUAGGGUGGCCGCCCACUUUAUUUCACGAAUCCAUUAUCGCCUACAGAAUAACGUCCUGGCCCUCCCAGUUUGAGUGAUUCUCUUUAUUUUGCUAUAUCUCAACUGUACAUGCAUGGUUUAUGUUCACCGGCCCGUGCCCCCAUGUCUCCUCACGUUAAUGUGGCUGCUGGCCGCGGGACUGACGAGGAGGUCAUGGUGGAGCGGUGGUGCUGGCUGUGGCCUAGCAGGAUAUCAUAAGUUCUCCCUUGUUCUUUUGUGUUUGAAUCAGAUUUAGUGGUUCUUGAUUUUACAGGCAUGCAUCGAUCUUUCUCCUGUUCUGUAUGUAGGAUACACUUAAUGUUUUAUGGAAUGUUCUGCAGAUUUUUAGAACACUAAGGGCAUAUCUUGGCUUGAAUGCUGCUGGGUCGAUGAACGUCAUGCAACAUCGCAGGAAUUUUAAAUUCCAAAUACAGGUGUGCAUGUGUCCACUUGGAAGCUACUUGUUCGUGAGUUGUUCGAGAUGAAAACCCAGUCUAUAUGAUGGACUGCUCUCCUAUUUUUUUAUGUGUGCGCUUGCUCCGUGCUCUUCUGUUCCCAGCAGGCUAUUGUGUUGAUCCGUGGGAAUUUCUUUUUACCCCUGCCAUUGCUUUGCUCUGUAAAACGCAGGUUUUGCUUACUCGUGACUGUAUGUUGGCUUCGUGCUGGUGGGCUAUAGUUCUCCUGUCACAAAUCAUGGAGACAUUCAUCCUCGCAGAUUUCUGCUCCUGCUAUGUGAAAAGGGCAAUCCACAACAUGAAUAUACAUGUAGCAAUGGUGUGCCCUUGGAACGUCCUGCAGUAAGCCCUCUCAAAGAAUCCUUAGGAAGUGUUCCUAGAGUUCGGUGGAUAUGACCGGAGUGAUAUUUUCAUAAGGAAGUCCAAGGCACAAGGGCUAUAAAUGUUAAGGAUUGCCUGACUGCGACAACUAUUGGGUUCCAUCUCACCACGCAGUGUUGCAAUAAGGCCAUUGAUCCAGUGUAGUUGUUGGGCAUGCACAUUGUGGAAUGGUUGUAGCAACUCGCUGGACUGCGGAUCAGGCCAUUCCCUUCCUCAGCAGAGCAGUCGGGCAAUUUUUGGACUACAGAAUUAGUCCCGAGAGAUGAAGUAAGAGCUGCAGUUGACCAUGUUGUCCAAACAUGGCUUGAUCCAACAAACAAAAUGACUUGAUUAAUUGGGCUUAUAAGUUGGUUGCAUCAACUGAUAGAUGCACUAAUGUAUGUAAGUGAAAUUAUCUCCUUGAGUCAUGACUAGCAUAUUUCCUUGCUUGAUGAAGGUUCCAUCUCUACAUAAUAGUUUUCUAUGCAUAUGAAACUGCUCUAUAUAGACAAAAGGUGGACGACUACAAAUCCAGUGACCGUUGCUCCGUUGUGGACAUGGGAGUCGUCUGAAUUUUGUCGUCCAUAUAGCAAGGUUCCUAUGCAUAUCCUGUCAAGUAAAUCUUUUCAUGAAAAUAUGAGGUGGGCCGUGGGCAUCAAUCUUUCGCAGGUUCAGGGUUGAAAAUGUCGACAACUUUGUAUGGUUGAAGGAUAUUCCAAGAAUUCCCACUCUUGCAAGAAAACAACUUGGCUCACUUAUGAUAAGAUGUUCUGGUGUUAAGUUUCUCCUCUUUUAUGGACCAAGAAGAUGAAUUAUUUUGACAACAUCAACUACAUUUGUACUGACAAAAAAAUAUUGUUGCUUGGACGGUCUUACAUUUAGAGGUGCACUAUUAUCUCUGUAGUUUAUUGUUACUACUUGAAAGCUCCGUAACAUCCAUGCGUAGAUGCACUUCCAGUCGAUUUAUGGUUGGCAUUAAAGUUGACCUUUAAAUUGAACUUGCAUGUCAAUACGUCAUCUUAAUUUUUGAGUAGAAAUUCUCACUGCGCCGUGUGAACUCCACUUCAAGAAUGGAACGAUCAGUAUUUAAAUCCCCGCUUGAUGAGAAACUGUCAAAUAAUUGUUAAUCUAAAAUUGUAGACAAGAUACUGAGCCAAUCAUUUUGUAGCUUUGAUAAUUUAGCUCGUUUAGAUUGAUAUUCCAGAACAUCUUCUGCAACAUCAUUGCCAAUCUUGAUAGACAAUAACGAAGUUAAGUAAGCACAUAGUACUCUUUCCAUUUACUUUGUCUAUCAUAGUAUUUUUAGAUGAAAUUCAUUUAUCAUAGUUAUUAAGGAGUACUGUUCACUUGUCGAGUGUGUGAUCACCCAAGGAAUGUUUAGUGCUUUAUCAAUUGUUCACUUGACUGCAUGAUCUAUUACUCCCACUGAUCCAUAUUAGUUGUGCUGAAAUGGAUGUAUCUAGACGUAUAUCAAUGCUAGAUACAUCUGUUUGAGCGACAAGUAAUAUGGAUUGGACAAAGUAUCAAUUUUAUACAAUGCUCUAAGACCAAUAGGCUGAAUAAGUUCCAUUUCAUCAUUUUCUGUUUAUGUAUCUGUUUAUUCAUUUUGAUGAUCUGCACAAAGAAAAGAGCAUGGCAACCUCCAUCUUGAUUGUAUGAUCUCGUUCAUUCUUAUUUUUCAGACUGUAGGUAGAUAUUUGAGCCAAUUUGGUACACUAAUAAGAAAGUUAAAACCUAAGACAUGAUAAGACUGUAUUGUUUAUGUCUUAAUGGACUUUACUUUUAUGUUUUCAUGACUUUUGUUCCUGUCCAAAUAUUACACGGUCGCAUAAUUCUUCCCUAACUUGCAGAUGCUAUCCAAGCCACAUAAUCCUUCCAUGACUUGCAGAUGCUAUCUAAGCAUUUGUGUUCUAAUAGAGAUAAAUAACUUUCUUUUCAUUAAAUCAAUAACAGCAGCACAAAGUUCAGGUCCCUGUCUCGAUGGCAGACGGAAUGAGGGGAAGGAGAGCUGAUGCUGUGGUCAUAUAUUUUGAUGUAACACAUGGCAAGUAGUGUAUGCCCAUUGAAAUAUGUCGACGAUAUGUAAACAAGUGUCAACAAAAACAUCAUUUAACCAUUCAGAUGUUUCUAUGAUUGUUA